Molecule: ribosomal RNA, 484 nt
Filed under: uncultured bacterium
Lineage: Bacteria
Description: partial 16S ribosomal RNA
Rfam family: Bacterial small subunit ribosomal RNA
Source: RNAcentral
AUUGAACGCUGGCGGCAUGCUUUACACAUGCAAGUCGAACGGCAGCACGGGCUUCGGCCUGGUGGCGAGUGGCGAACGGGUGAGUAAUAUAUCGGAACGUACCCAGAAGUGGGGGAUUACGUAGCGAAAGUUACGCUAAUACCGCAUACGAUCUAUGGAUGAAAGCAGGGGACCGCAAGGCCUUGUGCUCCUGGAGCGGCCGAUAUCUGAUUAGCUAGUUGGUGAGGUAAAGGCUCACCAAGGCGACGAUCAGUAGCUGGUCUGAGAGGACGACCAGCCACACUGGAACUGAGACACGGUCCAGACUCCUACGGGAGGCAGCAGUGGGGAAUUUUGGACAAUGGGCGCAAGCCUGAUCCAGCAAUGCCGCGUGAGUGAAGAAGGCCUUCGGGUUGUAAAGCUCUUUUGUCAGGGAAGAAACGGUAGAGGCUAAUAUCCUGUUCUAAUGACGGUACCUGAAGAAUAAGCACCGGCUAACUACGUG